GGGUUAAUAGCUCAGUUGGCAGAGCGCCUGAGGACUGUGGCGGCGCUGAUGGGCAGUCGGCGACCCAUCAGGCCGCUUUGUCAAAAGACGGAGGUCCUAGAUUCGAGUUCUAGUUAACCCA
This is a non-coding RNA of Clohesyomyces aquaticus, 121 nucleotides long. The record is from the annotation of a GenBank genome assembly. NCBI's taxonomy places the organism in Eukaryota, Fungi, Ascomycota, Dothideomycetes, Pleosporales, Lindgomycetaceae.